AUUGAACGCUGGCGGCAGGCCUAACACAUGCAAGUCGAGCGAGCGGCGGACGGGUGAGUAAUGCCUAGGAAUCUGCCUGGUAGUGGGGGAUAACGUCCGGAAACGGGCGCUAAUAAAGCAUACCAUAGGAUGUGCCCAGGGGGUAUUAGCUAGUAGGUGGGGUAACGGGUCACCUAGGAGACGAUGCCUAGCUGGUCUGAGAGGAUGACCAGCCACACUGGAACUGAGACACGGUCCAGACUCCGACGGGAGGCAGCAGUUGGGAAUAUUGCGCAAUGGGCGCAAGCCUGAUGCAGCCAUGGCGCGUGUAUGAAGAAGGCCUUCGGGUUGUAAAGUACUUUCAGCGGGGAGGCGUUACCCGCAGAAGAAGCACCGGCUAACUCCGUGCCAGCAGCCGCGGUAAUUC
RNAcentral lists this ribosomal RNA (406 nucleotides) under uncultured bacterium. RNAcentral describes it as "partial 16S ribosomal RNA". It matches the Rfam family "Bacterial small subunit ribosomal RNA", at positions 29 to 526 of the family's 1533-position model. The record is from RNAcentral.